GUCAUUGGUCAAAGCCGACGGGUUGUAUCCCCUGCUUCACUAGACCCAAAACUUCUGAGGGUGUAAGUUACAUCAGUGACCGUAAUUUUCGGGAGUGGAAGUCCAGAGAAGAGAAUGAAGCAAGAAGUAGCUUUGUAACACACGUUGGUGCUAUGCCUAUGGAACGUACCACAAAGAUCAUUUACAUAUGUCAUAGUUCUGGGGUAUCCAGAUCUCAAAAGGCCAGAGGCAGCUGAAGUUGCAAGGCAGUAACAAAAUGGGAGGUCAUUGCACUGCUGCCAUAGAGGUUAGCCAAGAUACAAAUGGUAUUUGUACUGUUGUUUGUUUCAAAACACAUUUGGACAUGAAAAAUAUUAUGGGUUUCUACACCUCCCUAUAUCUGAAAGGGAAGUCAUUGCUGGUAAAAUAGCCAAAGGCGUGACCUCCCAAAUAACUUUGGAUGAUGUGAGAGAGUCUAUCAAUUCAGAAGAGGUAGAAAGGCUCCACCUUUUAACUCGAAAGGACCUCCUUAAUAUAAAGAGGGACUUUGAAAUUAAUACUCACCAGUUCCAUGCCAAUGAUACAGUGAGUGUGAGCAUCAUUUUAGAACUAAUAAAAGACUGCAUUCUAAUGAACAAAAAUGUCGUUAAUAUGGACUAUUCAUCAGGCAAAGAUGUGAUGAGUGUGUUAAUGACAGAUCUACAGUGUCAAAUGCUUCAAAAGUUUGGCUCAAAAAUUGUGUGUGUAGAUUCAACACAUUGUACAAAUGUGUACAAGUUACUAGUAACAACACUAUUAGUUAUGGAUGAAUUUGGAAGUGGCAUUCCAGUUGCCUUCUGUGUUUCAUUGGUAACACUGAAACACUUUUAAUGUGCUGCUACAGUACAUCAUACCACUACACACUGGUACCAUUACUGGUGAUUGUGAUGGAAGCUGUUAUGAAACUCUUGCGAUUUUAUACAAAUUUGAUAUGGCGAGUUAACAGAACUUUUUAUCCAUGCGAGUAAAAUUAUUGUGUAAAAUCAAUAGCUCAGCCUCUUACAGAAGUCUCUUCAGGGUCCCUGAGAGUCUUUCACUUACAUGUCAACAUAUUAACUCUCCAAUAGUAUUUGUUGUUCAUAAUAGGGGUAAUUUUACUCUGUUCAGUAAAAUGAACUAGGAAAAUACUGGAAGUAAAGAUAAUGUCCAUGUAGACUAUGCAUUCCUGCCUGAUUCAGAAUGGAAUUUUACAUUCUGAUACAAAAGUCUGUAACAGGUUGCUGCUAAACAUCAGGUAGAAAACUGGAAAUCCAAAGAUAUUAAAAAAAAGUAAAAAUUAUUUUAUUAGCCUCUCCUAUAAUUAAGCAUAAUGUUUCAACUCAAGGAUGCAUAUGCUGGUUAACACUAAGGUUCAUAUUAAACAGGAUUCUAAUGUUACUGUUAUAUGUAAGGCUGAUGGUACGCAUUGUAAAAUUAUGAAAUGCUUUGUAUGAAGUAUGAGUGAAAAACAGCACUUGAAUAAAAAGACUAUUUCUAGCUUUCAGGAUCAUUAGUUCCUUCCUCUCUGAAGAUGGGUAUGUUUUGCAAGAUGGGUAAUGAGGGGAAUAUUGCUUGGACCACCAUGUAGAACACUUGUGUGACCCAUUCAUGAGCACUUCUCCAGUGUUUGAGAUACCCAGCAGGUCAGAUUAAACCAACACAUUGAAGGGGCCCAGAGGUGGGCUGCUAGAUAGUUUACCACUGGGUUCAACUAUGUGUGAGUGUUGUGAAGAUGCUAGGCAAACUCUUGUGAGAAUCCCUGGAGGGAAGACAAUGUUCUAAUUGUAGAACACUAUUGAGAAAAUUUAGAAAGCAUGAUAAAUCAGGGCUCAUAUGGAGGCAUAUAGGUAACCUUUCUGGAAUGGAAUGGAACGAGAAAGAAAAUGAUUUAUAGUGAUGCAAGGUACUCUCUGCCAUGCACCAUUUGGUUGCUUGUGUAAUAUGUAUAUAUAUAUAUUAAAAUAGGGAAGAAAAUUGUGGCUACCUACUACAUUCAAAAAUAUAGUUUAAAUUAAGCUAAAA
Molecule: long non-coding RNA, 2019 nt
Organism: Schistocerca gregaria
Lineage: Eukaryota; Metazoa; Arthropoda; Insecta; Orthoptera; Acrididae
Exons: 3
Source: RefSeq, a predicted model, not a curated record